UACAGGAAGCUGCAGCAUCAGUAGCAACAAAUGGAGAGAUGAGAGUUCUCAGCAUGUGGUAGCCCUACUGGCUUAGAUUUAAGAGACCCUUAUGCUCUCCAGCAUGAGCAAGGAUGUUUGGAGAUACAACCCAGGACAUAUUGUGGAGAAGGAAACUAGAGUAACAAGCUAACUUGCAGCAAGCCAAUAAGCUCCAAGGUAGGAGACUGAUGGGUUUGCAACUUCUUGAUGUGAAAAGGCACAAUCACUACCGUGUGAAGGAGUUUGGGGCAAGAUGGAUUGGGUGGGCUGGUGUUAAUGUGCCAGAUGAGGCUGGACAGAGGGCACUUACUAAAGCUUGGCUGAAAAGGUUCAGAGUUUCAGCUACAAUCUUUGCACCCUUGUUUAGUCUUGGGACAUUGAUAGUUGAUAUUUUAUUUUGAAUCAUGAAGAAUUCUUGUGAGCAUCAUUAAAUUCCUGUUUUUAUUUAUUUGUUCACCAAUGUUAUAAUGGCUAUUUCAACAACAUAUUAUUGCCUCUUUUUCAUUGUCUUGGACUUCCGCAAGAAGAUCGUCUCGCCACUACCCAGAAGUUUUCAGUCUCAGUUCGCUGCAUAUGUGAAAGCAAGUGUAAUGUUUGCUGCCAUGGUAAACCAGCAUUACCAGGAGGGUGAUGUUGUUUGGUGCCAUGACUACCACCUCAUGUUCCUUCCAAAAUGCCUGAAGGAGGACAACAGUGAUAUGAAAGUUGGUUGGUUUCUCCACACCUUUUCCUUCUUCAGAAAUCCACAAGACACUGCCAUCUUGAUCAAAGCUUCUGCAUGCUGUUCUUGCUUCUGACUUGGUUGGAUUAGAUUGGGGUGACAUUUUUGGCGUGCAACAAUGAUGUAGUUUGUUUGAAUGUUCAUUUUUUGUUUGAUAAAGAUACACAUACUUUGUAGAGUUGCACUAGUUAUUGUUGGAUGUUUGGUGGAAUUGAACAAUUACAACUUUUGGAUAUUUUGUGGAUAUUUCACUAUUUUAUUGUAUUAGGAUGAAAUUAUUUGUAAUGAUGAAUGGAUAUUUUCAUUUUGUUAAUUCGUAA
Non-coding RNA from Camellia sinensis, 1062 nucleotides. The record is from RefSeq and is a predicted model, not a curated record. Lineage: Eukaryota; Viridiplantae; Streptophyta; Magnoliopsida; Ericales; Theaceae.